GGCUUUUCUCCUAUGUUUUCUUCUAAAAGUUUCAUAAGUUUAGCUUUUAUGUUUAGAGCUACGAGCCAUUUCAAAUGAGUCUUUCUAAAUAGUAUGAGGUAGGGGUUGAGUUUAACUCUUUUGUUUUGUUUUGUUUCUGCGUGGGGAUAGCCAAUUUUUCAGCACCAUUUGUUGAAGAGAUUUUCAUCUCUCUCUUGAAUUACCUCGGCGCCUUUCUCAAAAAUUAAUUGAUUCUACAUGAGUGGGUCUGUUUCUGAGCUCACCAUUUUCCCUCUUCUGAUCUAUAAGCCGGUUUCCCCUAAGCCUCGAUAUCGCAUUGCCUGGAUGACUGUUGAUUUACAGUACAUCUUACAAUCAGGAGUGUGGUCCUAAACCCUGCUCUUCUUUUUUAAAACUGUCUUGGCCGUUCUAAGUCCUUUGUGUUUCUACAUACAUUUUAUAACUAGCUCCUCAGUUUCUUUAAAAAAAAAAGUCUCCUGAGGUUUUGUUUGGGGCAAUACCAAAUCUAUCCACCAAUUCCAGGAGAAUUGACAGUAUAAUGAUGCAGAGUCAUAAGAAUGAUACAGCUCUCCAUUUAUUUGGAUUUUAUGUAAUUUUUCUCAAGGUUGUUUAAUAGUUUGUACACCUCUUGUUUGAUUUAAUAAUAAAAUUACAUAAAUUUUGUAUAAGUGCAUCUGAAAUAAGUGUCUCAUAUUCUUUGAUAUCCUUGUAAAUGGAAUUUUAAAACCUUCCAUUUGCCAAUUUUCACCACAUUUCUAACACAUAGAAAAUUCCAAAUCACUUUGUGACUCUAGUGUAUAAACAUACAAUGGACCUUUGUGUGUGGACCUUGUGUUCUACAGUCUUGUUACAUUCAUUUGCUAGUUUUAGCAGCUUUUCAUGGAUUCCUUAGAUCUCUCUGCACAGAUUAUCAUGUCUCUGUGGAUAACGCUGGUUUUAUCUCUUCCUUUCUGAACUCUAAGCCUUUUAUUUAUUCUCCUCGCAGGAACCCUGCAGUAGACAGAACAGCGUCCCUCUAAGGACCGGUACAUGGUGACCUUUAACUCUGUGAAUAAGUCAGCAGACAUGGCCAAGGGCACUGAAGUUCGGGGAUAGAAUUAAGGUUGCUAACCAGCGACUUCAAGAGAUUGUUCUAGACUAUCCGGUGGACCCCUGUAACCACCGGGGCCCUCAUGAGGGAAGAGGUUGGUGAGGAGGGGGUCAGAGUGAUGAGUGAGAAGGGUUCAGCCGUGGUUGCUGGCUUUGAAGAAGGAGGAAGGGGCCGCGAGCUGAGAAAUGCCCGCAGCUUCUAGAAGCUGGAAAAGGCAAGGAAACAGAUUCCCCCCGAGAGCCUCCAGAAGGAGCCAGCCCUGCCCGCACUUUGGCUCUAGCCUGAUGAGAUCCGUGUCAGACUCCUGCCGGAACUGUAAGAUAAUAAAUACAUAGGGUUUUAGGGCACAGAGUGUGUGGUAAUUUGUCACAGCGGCCCCAGAAAACCAAACAGCCUCCAAUGAUGAAUAAAAGAGGUGACAGUGGACAGAAGAUGCACUUUAAAUUCAGUACAUCGAUUUUUAGAAUGAUGCUCCUUACAAUCACGAUUGAAGCGGUGGUCGUUCCCCGGACCCCUGCCGUGAACCGGCUCUGCAGUAAGAUGGGCCUGGACCGUCUCACACUAGUCUUGGUGCUUGCUGAUCCAGAGCGGAAGGACGUUUUAACUGAAGCCUCCAGCUCAAGUUCCCGGACACCCAGGCCAUUCGGUCCCUGCAUCUAAGUCCUGCUCUAGUGGCAGGGUCACCACCUGAGAAGUCUUCUCUGCCAACUGGACUUGAUCCUUGGAGCCACCCAGGCUAAGCUGAGGGUGGUGGCCAUGGAGGUCUCUGGGCAGAUUGUGGCUGGGUCCUCUGUGUGCCCCAGCCCGCCUUUGCUCCUGUCCCUGCCUCGGCGAGUUCAGACAUACCUGUGGGCAUCAGGGUAUAAAUAAAUGCUUCCCAACAUGCUUCUAAAA
Molecule: non-coding RNA, 1984 nt
Organism: Vicugna pacos (alpaca)
Lineage: Eukaryota; Metazoa; Chordata; Mammalia; Artiodactyla; Camelidae
Source: RefSeq, a predicted model, not a curated record